This 253-nucleotide ribosomal RNA is filed under the name uncultured bacterium. RNAcentral's name for it is "partial 16S ribosomal RNA". It matches the Rfam family "Bacterial small subunit ribosomal RNA", at positions 524 to 776 of the family's 1533-position model. The record is from RNAcentral.
UACGUAGGGGGCUAGCGUUGUCCGGAAUCAUUGGGCGUAAAGCGCGUGUAGGCGGUCCGGUAAGACCGCUGUGAAAGUCGAGGGCUCAACCCUCGAAUGCCGGUGGAUACUGUCGGGCUAGAGUACGGAAGAGGCGAGUGGAAUUCCUGGUGUAGCGGUGAAAUGCGUAGAGAUGCGGAGGUACACCGAUGGCGAAGGCAGCCCCCUGGGCCGACAUUGACGCUCAGGCACGAAAGCGUGGGGAGCAAACAGG